UUAAGUUAUUAAGGGCGCACGGUGGAUGCCUUGGCACUAGAAGCCGAUGAAGGACGUUACUAACGACGAUAUGCUUUGGGGAGCUGUAAGUAAGCUCUGAUCCAGAGAUUUCCGAAUGGGGAAACCCAGCAUGAGUUAUGUCAUGUUAUCGAUAUGUGAAUACAUAGCAUAUCAGAAGGCACACCCGGAGAACUGAAACAUCUUAGUACCCGGAGGAAGAGAAAGAAAAUUCGAUUCCCUUAGUAGCGGCGAGCGAAACGGGAAGAGCCCAAACCAACAAGCUUGCUUGUUGGGGUUGUAGGACACUCUAUACGGAGUUACAAAGGACGACAUUAGACGAAUCAUCUGGAAAGAUGAAUCAAAGAAGGUAAUAAUCCUGUAGUCGAAAAUGUUGUCUCUCUUGAGUGGAUCCUGAGUACGACGGAGCACGUGAAAUUCCGUCGGAAUCUGGGAGGACCAUCUCCUAAGGCUAAAUACUCUCUAGUGACCGAUAGUGAACCAGUACCGUGAGGGAAAGGUGAAAAGCACCCCGGAAGGGGAGUGAAAUAGAACCUGAAACCGUGUGCUUACAAGUAGUCAGAGCCCGUUAAUGGGUGAUGGCGUGCCUUUUGUAGAAUGAACCGGCGAGUUACGAUUUGAUGCAAGGUUAAGCAGUAAAUGUGGAGCCGUAGCGAAAGCGAGUCUGAAUAGGGCGUUUAGUAUUUGGUCGUAGACCCGAAACCAGGUGAUCUACCCUUGGUCAGGUUGAAGUUCAGGUAACACUGAAUGGAGGACCGAACCGACUUACGUUGAAAAGUGAGCGGAUGAACUGAGGGUAGCGGAGAAAUUCCAAUCGAACCUGGAGAUAGCUGGUUCUCUCCGAAAUAGCUUUAGGGCUAGCCUCAAGUGAUGAUUAUUGGAGGUAGAGCACUGUUUGGACGAGGGGCCCCUCUCGGGUUACCGAAUUCAGACAAACUCCGAAUGCCAAUUAAUUUAACUUGGGAGUCAGAACAUGGGUGAUAAGGUCCGUGUUCGAAAGGGAAACAGCCCAGACCACCAGCUAAGGUCCCAAAAUAUAUGUUAAGUGGAAAAGGAUGUGGCGUUGCCCAGACAACUAGGAUGUUGGCUUAGAAGCAGCCAUCAUUUAAAGAGUGCGUAAUAGCUCACUAGUCGAGUGACACUGCGCCGAAAAUGUACCGGGGCUAAACAUAUUACCGAAGCUGUGGAUUGUCCUUUGGACAAUGGUAGGAGAGCGUUCUAAGGGCGUUGAAGCAUGAUCGUAAGGACAUGUGGAGCGCUUAGAAGUGAGAAUGCCGGUGUGAGUAGCGAAAGACGGGUGAGAAUCCCGUCCACCGAUUGACUAAGGUUUCCAGAGGAAGGCUCGUCCGCUCUGGGUUAGUCGGGUCCUAAGCUGAGGCCGACAGGCGUAGGCGAUGGAUAACAGGUUGAUAUUCCUGUACCACCUAUAAUCGUUUUAAUCGAUGGGGGGACGCAGUAGGAUAGGCGAAGCGUGCGAUUGGAUUGCACGUCUAAGCAGUAAGGCUGAGUAUUAGGCAAAUCCGGUACUCGUUAAGGCUGAGCUGUGAUGGGGAGAAGACAUUGUGUCUUCGAGUCGUUGAUUUCACACUGCCGAGAAAAGCCUCUAGAUAGAAAAUAGGUGCCCGUACCGCAAACCGACACAGGUAGUCAAGAUGAGAAUUCUAAGGUGAGCGAGCGAACUCUCGUUAAGGAACUCGGCAAAAUGACCCCGUAACUUCGGGAGAAGGGGUGCUCUUUAGGGUUAACGCCCAGAAGAGCCGCAGUGAAUAGGCCCAAGCGACUGUUUAUCAAAAACACAGGUCUCUGCUAAACCGUAAGGUGAUGUAUAGGGGCUGACGCCUGCCCGGUGCUGGAAGGUUAAGAGGAGUGGUUAGCUUCUGCGAAGCUACGAAUCGAAGCCCCAGUAAACGGCGGCCGUAACUAUAACGGUCCUAAGGUAGCGAAAUUCCUUGUCGGGUAAGUUCCGACCCGCACGAAAGGCGUAACGAUUUGGGCACUGUCUCAACGAGAGACUCGGUGAAAUCAUAGUACCUGUGAAGAUGCAGGUUACCCGCGACAGGACGGAAAGACCCCGUGGAGCUUUACUGUAGCCUGAUAUUGAAAUUCGGCACAGCUUGUACAGGAUAGGUAGGAGCCUUUGAAACGUGAGCGCUAGCUUACGUGGAGGCGCUGGUGGGAUACUACCCUAGCUGUGUUGGCUUUCUAACCCGCACCACUUAUCGUGGUGGGAGACAGUGUCAGGCGGGCAGUUUGACUGGGGCGGUCGCCUCCUAAAAGGUAACGGAGGCGCUCAAAGGUUCCCUCAGAAUGGUUGGAAAUCAUUCAUAGAGUGUAAAGGCAUAAGGGAGCUUGACUGCGAGACCUACAAGUCGAGCAGGGUCGAAAGACGGACUUAGUGAUCCGGUGGUUCCGCAUGGAAGGGCCAUCGCUCAACGGAUAAAAGCUACCCCGGGGAUAACAGGCUUAUCUCCCCCAAGAGUUCACAUCGACGGGGAGGUUUGGCACCUCGAUGUCGGCUCAUCGCAUCCUGGGGCUGUAGUCGGUCCCAAGGGUUGGGCUGUUCGCCCAUUAAAGCGGUACGCGAGCUGGGUUCAGAACGUCGUGAGACAGUUCGGUCCCUAUCCGUCGUGGGCGUAGGAAAUUUGAGAGGAGCUGUCCUUAGUACGAGAGGACCGGGAUGGACAUACCUCUGGUGUACCAGUUGUCGUGCCAACGGCAUAGCUGGGUAGCUAUGUGUGGACGGGAUAAGUGCUGAAAGCAUCUAAGCAUGAAGCCCCCCUCAAGAUGAGAUUUCCCAACUUCGGUUAUAAGAUCCCUCAAAGAUGAUGAGGUUAAUAGGUUCGAGGUGGAAGCAUGGUGACAUGUGGAGCUGACGAAUACUAAUCGAUCGAAGACUUAAUCAA
Molecule: ribosomal RNA, 2921 nt
Filed under: Staphylococcus aureus VET0384R
Lineage: Bacteria; Bacillati; Bacillota; Bacilli; Caryophanales; Staphylococcaceae
Description: bacterial LSU rRNA
Rfam family: Bacterial large subunit ribosomal RNA
Source: RNAcentral